RNAcentral lists this ribosomal RNA (466 nucleotides) under uncultured bacterium. Its description in RNAcentral is "bacterial SSU rRNA". It matches the Rfam family "Bacterial small subunit ribosomal RNA", at positions 337 to 796 of the family's 1533-position model. The record is from RNAcentral.
GCCUACGGGUGGCAGCAGUCGAGAAUUUUUCACAAUGGGCGAAAGCCUGAUGGAGCGACGCCGCGUGGGGGAUGAAUGGCUUCGGCCCGUAAACCCCUGUCAUUCGCGAUCAAACCUCGCUAUUUAAAAGAUGGCGAGCUGAUAGUAGCGGAAGAGGAAGGGACGGCUAACUCUGUGCCAGCAGCCGCGGUAAUACAGAGGUCCCAAGCGUUGUUCGGAUUCACUGGGCGUAAAGGGUGCGUAGGUGGUGAGGUAAGUCGGAUGUGAAAUCUCGGAGCUCAACUCCGAAAUGGCAUUGGAAACUGCCUUGCUAGGGGGUUGGAGGGGGGACUGGAAUUCUCGGUGUAGCAGUGAAAUGCGUAGAUAUCGAGAGGAACACCGGUGGCGAAGGCGAGUCCCUGGACAACUCCUGACACUGAGGCACGAAAGCUAGGGGAGCAAACAGGAUUAGAUACCCCGGUAGUCC